This is a long non-coding RNA of Tachysurus fulvidraco (yellow catfish), 651 nucleotides long. RefSeq lists it as uncharacterized. The record is from RefSeq and is a predicted model, not a curated record. Lineage: Eukaryota; Metazoa; Chordata; Actinopteri; Siluriformes; Bagridae. The transcript has 3 exons.
AGAGUAUGAAAUAGAACCUUCUAUCUGCUCGUGGCACAUUGCUCCUCCUCCAACACUCUCUUCCAAAGGAUCGUGCCUGAUCAGUCCAGUAUCAAAUCUGCGUGUUAAUUCGCAGUAAAUCCUCUUCAAAGACGCCGGCCACUCGACUCCGCCGCACAGAGAGGGGUCGGGACCUCUGCGGCUGCAGCGCGGACCGCUUUAAAGGCCCGAACGCAUGGCAAAGACAAAUUCACAAUCUCUAGUGGACACGUGAUAGCCGUAUAAUUUAGACGGAAAGACAUGAGAAGUCCGAUAGGACGGUUCAUGGACAAUAAAGUGAUGGAAAGAUUUCAGGGAGAUUUUUGGAUGGCAGUGAGGACAACGGCUCCAAGCCAAAGUCCAUUUUCAUGCACGUUGGUCAGUAACAGGUGUCUGCAAUGGGUGAAAUAAAAGGAAAAAAAAAGAGAUCAGAGGGUGGAGGCAGAGACGGGCGACGAGGCUGUGUUUAACUGCGUUGAGUGAUUUUUUUCCCCUCAGAGACAGAGGACACUCUCACAUAUCUCCUACAUCCUCUCAUCCCUGCCCUCGAUUCCCACGCUGAAGCAGCAAGCCUGCUGGGAAUUUUCCAGCUCGGGACCCCGGGUAGGUUUGGGAAUCCUUGCGACUCCUGCG